CAGGGCUUGACAUCCCGCUGACCGGUGUAGAGAUAUGCCUUUCCCCUUCGGGGGACAGCGGUGACAGGUGGUGCAUGGUUGUCGUCAGCUCGUGUCGUGAGAUGUUGGGUUCAGUCCCGCAACGAGCGCAACCCCUAUUUCUAGUUGCCAGCAUUUCGGAUGGGCACUCUAGAGAGACAGCCGGUGAAAGCCGGAGGAAGGUGGGGAUGACGUCAAAUCAUCAUGCCCCUUAUGUCCUGGGCCACACACGUGCUACAAUGGCUGGCACAAAGGGUAGCCAACCCGCGAGGGGGAGCCAAUCCCAGAAAGCCAGUCUCAGUUCGGAUUGCAGGCUGCAACUCGCCUGCAUGAAGUCGGAAUCGCUAGUAAUCGCGGAUCAGCAUGCCGCGGUGAAUACGUUCCCGGGCCUUGUACACACCGCCCGUCACACCACGAGAGUCUGCAACACCCGAAGUCGGUGAGGUAACCUAACCCACCCCACAAAGUACUACUUUGCGGGGAACCCCGGGAAGGAACCAGCCGCCGAAGGUGGGGUCGAUGAUUGGGGUG
Molecule: ribosomal RNA, 549 nt
Filed under: uncultured bacterium
Lineage: Bacteria
Description: partial 16S rRNA
Rfam family: Bacterial small subunit ribosomal RNA
Source: RNAcentral